This 251-nucleotide ribosomal RNA is filed under the name uncultured bacterium. RNAcentral's name for it is "partial 16S ribosomal RNA". It matches the Rfam family "Bacterial small subunit ribosomal RNA", at positions 15 to 263 of the family's 1533-position model. The record is from RNAcentral.
GAUCAUGGCUCAGAUGAACGCUAGCUACAGGCUUAACACAUGCAAGUCGAGGGGCAUCAGGGUGUAGCAAUACACCGCUGGCGACCGGCGCACGGGUGAGUAACACGUAUCCAACCUGCCCUUUACUCGGGGAUAGCCUUUCGAAAGAAAGAUUAAUACCCGAUGGCAUAACAUGACCUCCUGGUUUUGUUAUUAAAGAAUUUCGGUAGAGGAUGGGGAUGCGUCCCAUUAGGCAGUUGGCGGGGUAACGG